CCGAAUCACCUUUUCCUGGAACUACAUUGAUACGUGGCCCACAAUCAACAAAGGGUAUUUCCGUAAACUUAACAUCCGUCAUGGAAGCCCUAAAUUCAUCCCCUAUUCCCUUUAUAAAUAAUCCCAAUCCCACCACCAUCGACGUUUGAAAAUAGCAAUAAGAUGAGAGAGGAAACGAAGAAAAAGAAGAGCUGCGUGAGAUCUAGAAGUUUGUCAUCAAGAAUUUUUGAGGAUUGACGUUUGAAACAAAGGAGGAAGAAUUAGUACCAAAUAUUCUUAUUUUGGGGUUUGUAAAAAGGUGGCGGUGACAGUGAGAGACGAUGAUGGAAACAGUGUUUUAGAAACUGGUUUGAACCGCCCGAUGUUGAAACGGUGGGGUGUUAAACAACGAUCGGUUUUAUGCUAAGUUUUAAACUGAAUUGAACCAGACGAUGGUUUAUUCAAAAAUCGGGUUGAAACCAAUGUGAUAAAAAACUGAUGAAAAAAAUUGUUUGAAUCGGUUUAUUGAACUUUGAUAAGCUUCGUCCAUUAAAAAAAGUCAAUUUCCGAAAAAAA
Long non-coding RNA from Lactuca sativa (garden lettuce), 555 nucleotides. RefSeq lists it as uncharacterized. The record is from RefSeq and is a predicted model, not a curated record. Lineage: Eukaryota; Viridiplantae; Streptophyta; Magnoliopsida; Asterales; Asteraceae.